Uloborus diversus is the source of this 183-nucleotide small nuclear RNA. RefSeq annotates it as U2 spliceosomal RNA. The transcript has a single exon. NCBI's taxonomy places the organism in Eukaryota, Metazoa, Arthropoda, Arachnida, Araneae, Uloboridae. The record is from RefSeq and is a predicted model, not a curated record.
AUGUUCCUCACAAUAGUAAAAAAUAAGAUGUUCCGUCCGAAGGGUUAAUAUCUGAUACACUGUCCAUUGGACAGUACGAUAUUAAACUAAUUUUUGAACUGAGGCUUGCGGUCUGGAAUUUUUUCCGCCCUCGCCACGGGUCGGCCCGCUAUUGCACUACUUGCGGGAUUCGGCCCACUCCCA